RNAcentral lists this ribosomal RNA (233 nucleotides) under uncultured bacterium. Its description in RNAcentral is "partial 16S ribosomal RNA". It matches the Rfam family "Bacterial small subunit ribosomal RNA", at positions 15 to 235 of the family's 1533-position model. The record is from RNAcentral.
GAUCAUGGCUCAGGAUGAGCGCUAGCUACAGGCUUAACACAUGCAAGUCGAGGGGCAGCAUUUUAGUUUGCUUGCAAACUGAAGAUGGCGACCGGCGCACGGGUGAGUAACACGUAUCCAACCUGCCGAUAACUCCGGAAUAGCCUUUCGAAAGAAAGAUUAAUACCGGAUAGCAUACGAAUAUCGCAUGAUAUUUUUAUUUAAAGAUUUAUCGGUGAUGGAUGGGGAGUGCG